This 95-nucleotide transfer RNA is filed under the name Fidelibacterota bacterium. Its description in RNAcentral is "tRNA-Sec". It matches the Rfam family "Selenocysteine transfer RNA". Lineage: Bacteria; Pseudomonadati; Fidelibacterota. The record is from RNAcentral.
GGGAAUGAUUGCGAGGCUGGUGCCCGUCGCGGUCUUCAAAACCGUUGUCCCGGUGUGAGCCGGGAGCUGGGUUCGAUUCCCAGGCGUUCCCGCCA